UGUAAUACGUCACGUGACGUCACCAUAAUUUGCUAAAAUUUAGUUUAAAAAAGAAAUUAAAAAAAAAAAUUAAAAAAAAAAUUAAAAAAUUCACAUGAUUAAUACUCUCAAAUGUGAACCUUGUAUGCUUGCAUCCAGCUGUGGAAAUUCUGGGAAAAUACCCGUCAAUGCCCGUUAAUGAUGACGUUAUAUUCCCGCUUGCAACCACGACUUCCUCCUUUUCGGACUUCAUCAAGCAGAUAUGCCAGGACCUGGUUCAACUACUAAGAAAUGUGCUUCUUGUUCUAUGCCACUCAAUGUGGCUUGCAAGACGUGCAAGUACUGCAAAGCAGUGCAGCCCCACAAUCUGCGUUUGAAAAAAAAAAUAGAAAGAUUUGAUUUGAAAUCAGAGACAUGGGCCCAGGCCCAGAAAAAGAAUAACACUUCAUCCCACCUGAUGGAUGACGCUUCUUUGUUGCUGGAAAGGUUUCAGGCCCUUGGCUCCAGGGGUGUGUUAUUUAUAUCCCGCCCUGGAACUAAAUCAUGGACCUGUGAGGUUCUUCUGCCCAGAUGUAAAGUCACUGAAUCAGCAUCUGCCUGCCUAAAGAGGAUGGAGGCGUUGUUUGAAUUUGUUGUGCAAGGUUGGAGUCAGUCAGAGAAAGUAGCAGCCUCAGCAGCAGAGAUCCCACAGCCUCCUGUAGACAACUCACUGGCCACAUCAAGUUAUUAUGGAGCCCCUGCUCUUCCCAUUCCUUCCCCUUCAGCUCCUAAUCUUGCCAGUCCUACCCCUCCAGCGCCUACCCUUUCCAUUCCUACCCUUCCAGCCCCUACUCUUUCCUUUCCUACCACUCCAGCUCCUACUCUCCCCAUUCCUACCACUCCAGCUCCUACUCUCCCCAUUCCUACCACUCCAGCUCCUACUCUUCCCAUUUCUACCACUCCAGCUCCUACUCUUCCCAUUUCUACCACUCCAGCUCCUACUCUUCCCAUUUCUACCACUCCAGCCCCUUCUCUUUCCAUUCCUACCCUUCCAGUCUCUACUCUUUCCAUUCCUACCACUCCAGCUCCUACUCUUUCCAUUCCUACCCCUCCAGUCUCUACUCUUUCCUUUCCUACCACUCCAGCUUCUACUCUUCCCAUUCCUACCACUCCAGCCCCUACUCUUUCCAUUCCUACCCCUCCAGUCUCUACUCUUUCCAUUCCUACCACUCCAGCUCCUACUCUUUCCAUUCCUACCACUCCAGCUUCUACUCUUCCCAUUCCUACCCCUCCAGCUCCUACUCUUCCCAUUCCUACCCCUCCAGCUUCUACUCUUCCCAUUCCUACCCCUCCAGCUUCUACUCUUCCCAUUCCUACCACUUCAGCUUCUACUCUUCCCAUUCCUACCCCUCCAGCUCCUACUCUUUCCAUUCCUACCACUCCAGCUCCUACUCUUUCCAUUCCUACCACUCCAGCUUCUACUCUUCCCAUUCCUACCCCUCCAGCUCCUACUCUUCCCAUUCCUACCCCUCCAGCUUCUACUCUUCCCAUUCCUACCACUUCAGCUUCUACUCUUCCCAUUCCUACCCCUCCAGCUCAUACUCUUCCCAUUCCUACCCCUCCAGCUUCUACUCUUCCCAUUCCUACCACUUCAGCUUCUACUCUUCCCAUUCCUACCCCUCCAGCUCAUACUCUUCCCAUUCCUACCACUCCAGCUUCUACUCUUCCCAUUCCUACCCCUCCAGCUCCUACUCUUUCCAUUCCUACCACUCCAGCUCCUACUCUUUCCAUUCCUACCACUCCAGCUUCUACUCUUCCCAUUCCUACCCCUCCAGCUCCUACUCUUCCCAUUCCUACCCCUCCAGCUUCUACUCUUCCCAUUCCUACCACUUCAGCUUCUACUCUUCCCAUUCCUACCCCUCCAGCUCAUACUCUUCCCAUUCCUACCCCUCCAGCUUCUACUCUUCCCAUUCCUACCACUUCAGCUUCUACUCUUCCCAUUCCUACCCCUCCAGCUCAUACUCUUCCCAUUCCUACCCCUCCAGCUCAUACUCUUCCCAUUCCUACCACUCCAGCUUCUACUCUUCCCAUUCCUACCCCCCCAGCUCAUAAUCUUGCCAUCCCUGCUCCUGGAGGAAACAAGAGGAAGAAAAAUAAUGAUUGCUCUCACAGCAGCCAGGAAGUAUUCAAGGGAGAUAUUUUGAAGGAACGAGUUAAAGAGGUUGGUCAGCCAUUACCUGAUAUGGAUAAAAACUAGGCAGUAGAACAUUAAAGAAUGGAUGUUAAUGCAAGGGAAGGAAGGAAUACCUUCUGAAAUGGCACCCUUGCAGUUUAUGUGGAAAAAAAUGGAGAAGCACCUGGGUGGAGGAGGAUUCCUUCCUUAUGUAGUGUGUGUGUGUGUGUCUGUGUGAGUGUUUAAUAAACCGU
RNA transcript from Carassius gibelio (silver crucian carp), 2385 nucleotides. RefSeq lists it as uncharacterized. The transcript is spliced from 8 exons. The record is from RefSeq and is a predicted model, not a curated record. Lineage: Eukaryota; Metazoa; Chordata; Actinopteri; Cypriniformes; Cyprinidae.